GAUGAACGCUGGCGGCGUGCUUAACACAUGCAAGUCGAACGGAAAGGCCUCUGCUUGCAGGGGUACUCGAGUGGCGAACGGGUGAGUAACACGUGGGUGAUCUGCCCUGCACUUCGGGAUAAGCCUGGGAAACUGGGUCUAAUACCGGAUAGGACAAUGGUUUGGAUGCUGUUGUGGAAAGUUUUUCGGUGUGGGAUGAGCUCGCGGCCUACCAGCUUGUUGGUGGGGUAAUGGCCUACCAAGGCGUCGACGGGUAGCCGGCCUGAGAGGGUGUACGGCCACAUUGGGACUGAGAUACGGCCCAGACUCCUACGGGAGGCAGCAGUGGGGAAUAUUGCACAAUGGGCGCAAGCCUGAUGCAGCGACGCCGCGUGGGGGAUGACGGCCUUCGGGUUGUAAACUCCUUUCGCUAGGGACGAAGCGUUUUUGUGACGGUACCUGGAGAAGAAGCACCGGCUAACUACGUG
This 467-nucleotide ribosomal RNA is filed under the name uncultured bacterium. RNAcentral describes it as "partial 16S ribosomal RNA". It matches the Rfam family "Bacterial small subunit ribosomal RNA", at positions 28 to 507 of the family's 1533-position model. The record is from RNAcentral.